This 253-nucleotide ribosomal RNA is filed under the name uncultured bacterium. RNAcentral describes it as "partial 16S ribosomal RNA". It matches the Rfam family "Bacterial small subunit ribosomal RNA", at positions 524 to 776 of the family's 1533-position model. The record is from RNAcentral.
UACGUAGGGGGCAAGCGUUGUCCGGAUUUAUUGGGCGUAAAGAGCGUGUAGGCGGCCAGAUAGGUCGGUUGUGAAAACUGGAGGCUUAACCUCCAGACGUCGACCGAAACCAUCUGGCUAGAGUCCGGAAGAGGAGAGUGGAAUUCCUGGUGUAGCGGUGAAAUGCGCAGAUAUCAGGAAGAACACCCGUGGCGAAAGCGGCUCUCUGGGACGGUACUGGACGCUGAGACGCGAAAGCGUGGGGACGAACAGG